RNAcentral lists this ribosomal RNA (412 nucleotides) under uncultured microorganism. RNAcentral describes it as "bacterial SSU rRNA". It matches the Rfam family "Archaeal small subunit ribosomal RNA", at positions 330 to 745 of the family's 1478-position model. The record is from RNAcentral.
GCGCAGCAGGCGCGAAACCUCCCCAAUGCCCGAAAGGGUGAGGGGGUCACCCCGAGUGCCACCCUCGUGGUGGCUUUUGCGGGGUCUAAAAAGCCCCGCGAAUAAGGGGAGGGCAAGACGGGUGUCAGCCGCCGCGGUAAUACCCGCUCCCCGAGUGGUGGGGACUAUUACUGGGCUUAAAGCGUCCGUAGCCGGCUGGGUGUGUCCCCCGUUAAAUCCACGGGCCUAACCCGUGGGCUGCGGGGGAUACUACCUGGCUUGGGGGUGGGAGAGGGCGGCGGUAUUCCCGGGGUAGGGGUAAAAUCCUCUGAUCCCCGGGAGGACCACCAGUGGCGAAGGCGGCCGCCCAGAACACGCCCGACGGUGAGGGACGAAAGCUGGGGGAGCAAAUGGGAUUAGAUACCCGCGUAGU